AAACUGAGGGAUAACUGCUCGAAAGAGUAGCUAAUACCGCAUGUGGUCUUCGGAUUAAAGCUUCGGCGGUUUGGGAAUGGCCUGCGUCCGAUUAGCUUGUUGGUGAAGGUAAAAGCUCACCAAGGCGACGAUCGGUAGCUGGUCUGAGAGGAUGAUCAGCCUGACUGGAACUGAGAACGGUCCAGACUCCUACGGGAGGCAGCAGUAGGGAAUUUUCCACAAUGGGCGAAAGCCUGAUGGAGCAACGCCGCGUGCAGGAUGAAUGCCUUCGGGUUGUAAACUGCUUUUAUUAGUGAAGAAUAUGACGGUAACUAAUGAAUAAGGGUCGGCUAACUACGUG
Molecule: ribosomal RNA, 340 nt
Filed under: uncultured bacterium
Lineage: Bacteria
Description: bacterial SSU rRNA
Rfam family: Bacterial small subunit ribosomal RNA
Source: RNAcentral